This 1444-nucleotide long non-coding RNA is filed under the name Sus scrofa (pig). Its description in RNAcentral is "lncRNA (ENSSSCG00000055342.1, ENSSSCG00105014211.1)". The record is from RNAcentral. Lineage: Eukaryota; Metazoa; Chordata; Mammalia; Artiodactyla; Suidae.
UGGCCUUGGUAGGAGCUGCUUUAGGUUUUAGCCAGAGAGUGGCAUAGUGAGGGAGAGCUGUGCCCAGGGAGAACUGGGCACGUACCAUUGGUUUGGCAUUGGGAUUUACAAACAUUCAUCUUCUUGGGCUCCUCCUAUGCUGUUGUCUGAGGGUGCAUGUCCCCUCUGUCCUACCUUCACUUUCUGGCUCUUGCUCUUGAUUCUGGAUGUCCAUCAGUCCUCAGAGAUAGGCUUUUGAAAAUCAAUUCCCUGUGGCACAGUGGGUUGGGGAUCUGGCGUUGUCACUGCUGCAGCUUGGAUCUCAGCUAUGGCUCAGGUUCAGUCCCUGGCCUGGGAACUUCUGCAUACCAUGGGCAUAGCCAAAAAAAAAAAAAAAAAAAAAAAAAAAAAAAGGUAGAAUGAUAAUGUGAAAAGAUCCGUAAGAGCGGGAGACUGAGUUUACCACUUGUAUUAUAAUCCCAGCUUUGUUGCCUAGUGGUCAUAUGCCCUUGACAACAAUAAAACACUGAAAAAAUAGAGUAAGGGGAAUCCGUAAGGAUGGGGCAGAGAUUGAAGCUCAGAUGUCUGUGAUGCCUGUGACGGGACAGACCCAGCGUCUCCAGAUAAGGUGCCAUCUAAACAGUGCGGUUUUGAGUAUUUUAACUCAUCAGUUAGAAAUGUGAUAAGUCUGAAAUGUUACUUUGCCUGUUUUUGACUAAGUCUUUGGUAAAUAAGGGAGAGAAAUAGAUGUCUAUCGCAUUUCUCAUUUAGCUAAAAUUGUGUGGCUAUAUUAUGUGUAAUAUAUGAAAAUUGAAUCAUAGUUCCACCAACUUGAGUUCUUCACUUCUACUUGAAUCUCACUGUGUACUUGAAAAAAAGACCGUCAGAUAUUAUCCUGAGAUUUUCUUAUAAUGUUAUUUGGGGGAAUGGGAUGUGAGCCAGGUGAGUCUAGGAAUGCCUGACAGGUCUUGUUUUAUUUACACCCGGUAAGAACCACACUAGCUCACUAUGUGCCUACACACAUCCAUUAUAUUCACCCUUCAUCUGUAUACUGCACACACGGUCACAACUGUAAAACCACAUGUUCUUACAUACCACACACAGGUGCUUGUGUGUGUGCGCGUGCGCACGCGCGCGUGUGUGUGUGUGUGCACACACACACACACACACACACGCACAUGUAUGUCAUUGGCUUACGCCUUUUAAAGAAUGCUUCAGAUAGGAAUACCCACUGUGGCUUAGUGGUAACGAACCUGACUAGUAUCCAUGAGGACACAGGUUCGAUCCCCAGCCCUGCUCAGUGGGUUAAGGAUCUGGCAUUGCCAUGAGCUCUAGUGUAGGUCGCAGACACAGCUUGGAUCCUGUGUUGCUGUGGCAGUGGUGUAGGCUGGCGGCUAUAGCUCCAAUUUGAUGCCUAGUCUGGGAAUUUCCAUAUGCUGUGAGUGUGGCUCUAAAAAGACCCCCC